UGCAUCAAUGGUUUAAUGGCAGAAUACAAGCUUCCCAAGCUUGAGAUUCGGGUUCGAUUCCCGGUUGGUGCAU
This 73-nucleotide transfer RNA is filed under the name subsurface metagenome. RNAcentral describes it as "tRNA-Gly". It matches the Rfam family "tRNA". Rfam says of the family: Transfer RNA (tRNA) molecules are approximately 80 nucleotides in length. Their secondary structure includes four short double-helical elements and three loops (D, anti-codon, and T loops). Further hydrogen bonds mediate the characteristic L-shaped molecular structure. tRNAs have two regions of fundamental functional importance: the anti-codon, which is responsible for specific mRNA codon recognition, and the 3' end, to which the tRNAs corresponding amino acid is attached (by aminoacyl-tRNA synthetases). tRNAs cope with the degeneracy of the genetic code in two manners: having more than one tRNA (with a specific anti-codon) for a particular amino acid; and 'wobble' base-pairing, i.e. permitting non-standard base-pairing at the 3rd anti-codon position. The record is from RNAcentral.